This 285-nucleotide small nucleolar RNA is filed under the name Arabidopsis lyrata subsp. lyrata. RNAcentral's name for it is "snoRNA Plant_U3". It matches the Rfam family "Plant small nucleolar RNA U3". Rfam says of the family: Small nucleolar RNAs (snoRNAs) are involved in the processing and modification of rRNA in the nucleolus. There are two main classes of snoRNAs: the box C/D class, and the box H/ACA class. Lineage: Eukaryota; Viridiplantae; Streptophyta; Magnoliopsida; Brassicales; Brassicaceae. The record is from Rfam by way of RNAcentral.
ACGACCUUACUUGAACAGGAUUUGUUCUAUAGGCUUGUACCUCUGUAUCCUUGGUUUAUAAGGAGACAGGACCUAAAACCUGGUUGAUGAAUCAUAUGACCGUGCAAUCUUAGUGUGAUUGACGGGGUUAGAGGUUCUUUAGGGUCUCUGUGAUCUUAGAUCUAAGUCUGAUUGACGUAAGUCUGAUCGACGAAUCGAGCAAGUUUAGAAUCUCUUCGCUGUCGAUGGUCGCCACCCGGUUAGGUCUUCCUCUCCGGGGUGGGUCGCGCGGUUGUCUGACAGGUU